AACGAACGCUGGCGGCAUGCCUAACACAUGCAAGUCGAACGAGACCUUCGGGUCUAGUGGCGCACGGGUGCGUAACGCGUGGGAACCUGCCUUUAGGUUCGGAAUGACUCAGAGAAAUUUGAGCUAAUACCGGAUGAUGUCUUCGGACCAAAGAUUUAUCGCCUUUAGAUGGGCCCGCGUUGGAUUAGCUAGUUGGUGGGGUAAAGGCCUACCAAGGCGACGAUCCAUAGCUGGUCUGAGAGGAUGAUCAGCCACACUGGGACUGAGACACGGCCCAGACUCCUACGGGAGGCAGCAGUGGGGAAUAUUGGACAAUGGGCGAAAGCCUGAUCCAGCAAUGCCGCGUGAGUGAUGAAGGCCUUAGGGUUGUAAAGCUCUUUUACCCGAGAUGAUAAUGACAGUAUCGGGAGAAUAAGCUCCGGCUAACUCCGUG
RNAcentral lists this ribosomal RNA (433 nucleotides) under uncultured bacterium. Its description in RNAcentral is "partial 16S ribosomal RNA". It matches the Rfam family "Bacterial small subunit ribosomal RNA", at positions 29 to 507 of the family's 1533-position model. The record is from RNAcentral.